CUGGCGGCGUGCCUAACACAUGCAAGUCGAACGGGAAAACAGGGGCAACUCUGUGAGUACAGUGGCGUACGGGUGAGUAACACGUGACUACCUACCCUCGAGUGGGGGAUAACCCCGGGAAACCGGGGCUAAUACCGCAUAACAUCGCAAGAUCAAAGGAGCAAUUCGCUUGAGGAGGGGGUCGCGGCUGAUUAGCUAGUUGGUGAGGUAACGGCCCACCAAGGCGAUGAUCGGUAGCCGGCCUGAGAGGGCGCACGGCCACACUGGAACUGAAACACGGUCCAGACUCCUACGGGAGGCAGCAGUGGGGAAUUUUGCGCAAUGGGGGAAACCCUGACGCAGCAACGCCGCGUGGAGGAUGAAGUCCCUUGGGACGUAAACUCCUUUCGACCCGGACGAUAAUGACGGUACGGGUGGAAGAAGCACCGGCUAACUUCGUGCCAGCAGCCGCGGUAAUACGAGGGGUGCGAGCGUUGUUCGGAAUUAUUGGGCGUAAAGGGCGCGUANGCGGUGCGGUAAGUCACCUGUGAAAUCUCCCGGCUCAACUGGGAGCUUGCAGGCGAAACUGCCGUGCUGGAGUGUGGGAAAGGUGCGUGGAAUUCCCGGUGUAGCGGUGAAAUGCG
RNAcentral lists this ribosomal RNA (623 nucleotides) under uncultured bacterium. RNAcentral describes it as "bacterial SSU rRNA". It matches the Rfam family "Bacterial small subunit ribosomal RNA", at positions 36 to 690 of the family's 1533-position model. The record is from RNAcentral.